GCAGGUAUCGUAUAAUGGUUAUUAUGUAGCCCUCCCAUGGCUAAGAUGCGAGUUCGAUUCUCGUUACCUGCUCCA
This 75-nucleotide transfer RNA is filed under the name Acholeplasmataceae bacterium. RNAcentral's name for it is "tRNA-Gly". It matches the Rfam family "tRNA". Rfam says of the family: Transfer RNA (tRNA) molecules are approximately 80 nucleotides in length. Their secondary structure includes four short double-helical elements and three loops (D, anti-codon, and T loops). Further hydrogen bonds mediate the characteristic L-shaped molecular structure. tRNAs have two regions of fundamental functional importance: the anti-codon, which is responsible for specific mRNA codon recognition, and the 3' end, to which the tRNAs corresponding amino acid is attached (by aminoacyl-tRNA synthetases). tRNAs cope with the degeneracy of the genetic code in two manners: having more than one tRNA (with a specific anti-codon) for a particular amino acid; and 'wobble' base-pairing, i.e. permitting non-standard base-pairing at the 3rd anti-codon position. The record is from RNAcentral. Lineage: Bacteria; Bacillati; Mycoplasmatota; Mollicutes; Acholeplasmatales; Acholeplasmataceae. RNAcentral also lists the same sequence under 1 other name.